Molecule: small RNA, 88 nt
Filed under: Mytilus galloprovincialis (Mediterranean mussel)
Lineage: Eukaryota; Metazoa; Mollusca; Bivalvia; Mytilida; Mytilidae
Source: RNAcentral
CGGAAUUUUACACCGUUGUUGAAAAUUCAUACACCCAUUCGGCUGCGCCUUAGGGUGUAUGAAUUUUCAACAACGGUGUAAAAUUCUG